GACGAACGCUGGCGGCGUGCUUAACACAUGCAAGUCGAACGGAAAGGCCCUGCUUUUGUUGGGUGCUCGAGUGGCGAACGGGUGAGUAACACGUGAGUAACCUGCCCUUGACUUUGUGAUAUCUUCAGGAAACUGGGGCUAAUACCGGAUAGGAGCUCCUGCUGCAUGGUGGGGGUUGGAAAGUUUCGGCGGUUGGGGAUGGUCUCGCGGCUUAUCAGCUUGUUGGUGGGGUUGUUGCUUACCAAGGCUUUGACGGGUAGCCGGCCUGAGAGGGUGACCGGAGACAUGGGGACUGAGGUACGGCGCAGACUGAGACCGGACGCAGCAGGGGGGAGUAUUGCACAAUGGGGGGACGCCUGAUACAAAAGCGAAGCGUGCGGAAUAACGUCUUACGGGUGAUAAACAGCUUUCGCCUUUGACAAAGCGGGCGUGACGGUAAUGGGUAAAGAAGCACCGGCUAACUACGUG
This 468-nucleotide ribosomal RNA is filed under the name uncultured bacterium. Its description in RNAcentral is "partial 16S ribosomal RNA". It matches the Rfam family "Bacterial small subunit ribosomal RNA", at positions 28 to 507 of the family's 1533-position model. The record is from RNAcentral.